UACGUAGGGUGCGAGCGUUAAUCGGAAUUACUGGGCGUAACGCGUGCGCAGGCGGUUUUGUAAGGCAGGCGUGAAAUCCCCGAGCUCAACUUGGGAAUGGCGCUUGUGACUGCAAGGCUAGAGUAUGUCAGAGGGGGGUAGAAUUCCACGUGUAGCAGUGAAAUGCGUAGAGAUGUGGAGGAAUACCGAUGGCGAAGGCAGCCCCCUGGGACGUCACUGACGCUCAUGCACGAAAGCGUGGGGAGCAAACAGG
This 253-nucleotide ribosomal RNA is filed under the name uncultured bacterium. Its description in RNAcentral is "partial 16S ribosomal RNA". It matches the Rfam family "Bacterial small subunit ribosomal RNA", at positions 524 to 776 of the family's 1533-position model. The record is from RNAcentral.